CAUGCAGUCGACGGUAGCACAGAGAGCUUGCUCUCGGGUGACGAGUGGCGGACGGGUGAGUAAUGUCUGGGAAACUGCCUGAUGGAGGGGGAUAACUACUGGAAACGGUAGCUAAUACCGCAUAACGUCGCAAGACCAAAGAGGGGGACCUUCGGGCCUCUUGCCAUCAGAUGUGCCCAGAUGGGAUUAGCUAGUAGGUUGGGUAACGGCUCACCUAGGCGACGAUCCCUAGCUGGUCUGAGAGGAUGACCAGCCACACUGGAACUGAGACACGGUCCAGACUCCUACGGGAGGCAGCAGUGGGGAAUAUUGCACAAUGGGCGCAAGCCUGAUGCAGCCAUGCCGCGUGUAUGAAGAAGGCCUACGGGUUGUAAAGUACUUUCAGCGGGGAGGAAGGUGUUGUGGUUAAUAACCGCAGCAAUUGACGUUACCCGCAGAAGAAGCACCGGCUAACUCCGUGCCAGCAGCCGCGGUAAUACGGAGGGUGCAAGCGUUAAUCGGAAUUACUGGGCGUAAAGCGCACGCAGGCGGUCUGUCAAGUCGGAUGUGAAAUCCCCGGGCUCAACCUGGGAACUGCAUUCGAAACUGGCAGGCUAGAGUCUUGUAGAGGGGGGUAGAAUUCCAGGUGUAGCGGUGAAAUGCGUAGAGAUCUGGAGGAAUACCGGUGGCGAAGGCGGCCCC
This 681-nucleotide ribosomal RNA is filed under the name uncultured bacterium. Its description in RNAcentral is "bacterial SSU rRNA". It matches the Rfam family "Bacterial small subunit ribosomal RNA", at positions 54 to 728 of the family's 1533-position model. The record is from RNAcentral.